RNAcentral lists this ribosomal RNA (429 nucleotides) under Acidobacteriota bacterium. Its description in RNAcentral is "Acidobacteria bacterium partial 16S ribosomal RNA". It matches the Rfam family "Bacterial small subunit ribosomal RNA", at positions 355 to 776 of the family's 1533-position model. Lineage: Bacteria; Pseudomonadati; Acidobacteriota. The record is from RNAcentral.
UGGGGAAUUUUGGACAAUGGGGGAAACCCUGAUCCAGCCAUCCCGCGUGUGCGAUGAAGGCCUUCGGGUUGUAAAGCACUUUUGGCAGGAAAGAAACGUCAUGGGUUAAUACCCCGUGAAACUGACGGUACCUGCAGAAUAAGCACCGGCUAACUACGUGCCAGCAGCCGCGGUAAUACGUAGGGUGCAAGCGUUAAUCGGAAUUACUGGGCGUAAAGCGUGCGCAGGCGGUUCGGAAAGAAAGAUGUGAAAUCCCAGAGCUCAGCUUUGGAAGUGCAUCUUUAACUACCGGGAUAGAGUGUGUCAGAGGGAGGUGGAAUUCCGCGUGUAGCAGUGAAAUGCGUAGAUAUACGGAGGAACACCGAUGGCGAAGACAGCCUCCUGGGAUAACACUAACACUCAUGCACGAAAGCGUGGGGAGCGAACAGG